This 253-nucleotide ribosomal RNA is filed under the name uncultured bacterium. RNAcentral describes it as "partial 16S ribosomal RNA". It matches the Rfam family "Bacterial small subunit ribosomal RNA", at positions 524 to 776 of the family's 1533-position model. The record is from RNAcentral.
UACGUAGGGGGCAAGCGUUGUCCGGAAUCAUUGGGCGUAAAGAGCGCGUAGGCGGCCCUGUAAGUCCGCUGUGAAAGUCAAGGGCUCAACCCUUGGAUGCCGGUGGAUACUGCAGGGCUAGAGUCCGGAAGAGGCGAGUGGAAUUCCUGGUGUAGCGGUGAAAUGCGCAGAUAUCAGGAGGAACACCGAUGGCGAAGGCAGCUCGCUGGGACGGUACUGACGCUGAGGCGCGAAAGCGUGGGGAGCAAACGGG